CAAAGGAUAGUUUAAUUUAAAAUAAUAGUUUUGGGGAUUAUUGAUAAGGUUUCUUUCCUUUGA
Molecule: transfer RNA, 63 nt
Filed under: Orthomeria smaragdinum
Lineage: Eukaryota; Metazoa; Arthropoda; Insecta; Phasmatodea; Aschiphasmatidae
Description: tRNA-Pro
Source: RNAcentral